GACGAACGCUGGCGGCGUGCCUAAUACAUGCAAGUUGAGCGCUGAAGGUUGGUACUUGUACCAACUGGAUGAGCAGCGAACGGGUGAGUAACGCGUGGGGAAUCUGCCUUUGAGCGGGGGACAACAUUUGGAAACGAAUGCUAAUACCGCAUAAAAACUUUAAACACAAGUUUUAAGUUUGAAAGAUGCAAUUGCAUCACUCAAAGAUGAUCCCGCGUUGUAUUAGCUAGUUGGUGAGGUAAAGGCUCACCAAGGCGAUGAUACAUAGCCGACCUGAGAGGGUGAUCGGCCACAUUGGGACUGAGACACGGCCCAAACGCCUACGGGAGGCAGCAGUAGGGAAUCUUCGGCAAUGGACGAAAGUCUGACCGAGCAACGCCGCGUGAGUGAAGAAGGUUUUCGGAUCGUAAAACUCUGUUGGUAGAGAAGAACGUUGGUGAGGGUGGAAAGCUCAUCAAGUGACGGUAACUACACAGAAAGGGACGGCUAACUACGUG
RNAcentral lists this ribosomal RNA (497 nucleotides) under uncultured bacterium. RNAcentral describes it as "partial 16S ribosomal RNA". It matches the Rfam family "Bacterial small subunit ribosomal RNA", at positions 28 to 507 of the family's 1533-position model. The record is from RNAcentral.